ACCCCCCCUCCCCCCGGCUAUAUCAAUAAGUAAUUAAUUAGUGGGCAGGUGGGUAAGAUAACUGUUCACAAUUGUUUAUGUACAAUAUUAAUAUAUUUACAGAUAAUAAGACAUGCAUGUAAACAUUUGGACGUCCAGGUAAGUAUUCUUUAUAAUUUUACAACGUUAAUGCAUUAAUUUUUCUGUUUUCUUUUUCACAGUUAUCCCCAGGCACCCCUGCCCAAGACAACCCUUGGUCUCUAUCCAGACCUUAAGGACCCGGGUGGCUCGUGCGCCGCCAUUUUCACAGGAUCCAGAUACUGAAUAAGUUAAAACAACUGAAAGCAGUACUGAGUUAGCUGUGAGACAGGGCUGUGCUGAGUUGUGAAAUGACCUAUUUCAGAAGAGGCACCAGCUGUCAUGUCAGAUGAAACUGAUCCAAGUAUGCUCAGGAGGAAGAACCUUGAAGGUUUUGAGGCUGAUGAAAAAAGAAAGAAAACAAAUGAUCAACCGACCACAUACAUCACCACCAGCCUGGAAACAGAUCAAAGCACCAGCAGUGAAAAACUAAACAUAAUUACCUGGAACAUAAACGGGGAUUUAAACAAGCUUACAAUCAUACGAAACCAAAACCUAGUGUUAAAAUCUGAAGAAAAUAUACGGAUCGCUCCUCAUGUUGUUUUCUUGCAAGAAACACAUAGUGUGGAGUUUCCAGAGGAUAUUACACAGGAGUGGCAUGUAUUUUACACUCAGUACAACAACACUGAAAAAGGGGUAGCCAUUUUGGUAAACAAAUCAAAAUGUCCAAAUUUUCAGCUUUACAGUCAGGAAGUCGACAGUAACGGACGUUACGUUAUUGUGAAAUGUCGCCUGGUCAGUCAUCAGAAGUACACACUCGUGUGUGUGUACAACCAUAAAUCUGACACCAAAACUCUAGACUUGCUCACACCGUAUCUGCAGAAAACUGUAGGAACCUUAGUGAUUGGAGGAGAUUUUAAUACCACAUUAGGAAAAAAUGACAGAGCCAAAGAGCAACCCGAUGGAGAGUUAGAGCACUAUGGGCCAAAUGAGAUAAACAGACAACAUGAAAAAAUCAGAAAUUGUGUGGAAAGAUUCAUGAGGAAUCUUCAACUGGUUGAUGUCUUUAGAGGAAAGAAGGGCUAUGGUCUAUGGGAUGAGACAUGCUUCACAUAUAGGCAAGAUCAAGAUCCAGAUAAGAAAACCCCCCUAUCCAGGUUGGACUACUUCUUUAUCCCUGAGGAAUGGAUGUGCUCAGUCACAAGAUGUGACGUUUUGCAGAGGGAUGCAAUUAAUUAUAUCGCACCAUUUAUGAAUGACCACAGACCACUAUUACUACAGCUGGAAAACGAACAGACAGAGAUACCAGACAUUCAGGCACUGCAACUAAACGACCCUGGUAACCUCAUUAACAUCCAUGGGGUUGAGAUUGUAGCAGCUAUUCAGUCUCUGCAGCUGAGGGACAUACCUGAUAGACCACACAUGACAUUAAGUCCUGAGGAAAUUGAAAAUUUGAAACAUGAUUUGAGUUCUCUAAUUCACGACAACAGAUUACCAGACAACUUCAAUUCUGCCAUUGAACAAACUUUCAGGGGCAUUCAGUACCAUUUCUUCAACAAGAAGUAUCUCAUCCUUUCAACAAUUGUAGCCUGGCGAUUACAAGACUGGAGCAGUGGAGGAGCAGAGGAAGCUCACGAUGUGCAAGCAACUGGCGAUGAGGUUGAAUGGCCUGCAUUACAACGCCUCAUUCAGAAUAAACUGAACGGUCAUCCACGCGUAAAUGAAUUCAACAUCAUUGAAAUGAUGUUAAGCAGUGGAACUCCAGGAAGAAUUAGGCUCUUCAACGGCUGUCCUUUAAGUCGUACACUGCACAAGCUUUUCACCAUAUAAAAUAUUAACAUCUCCAAGGAACAUGAUAAAUGCUUAUUGCUGAAAACGUAAAGAUGAAAGAAGCAAUGCAACAAAGGGGGGGUGGGGGGUGGGUACUGUUACAGUUACUGUUACUUUUAAAAGUUUUAAAUAUAUAUUUCUGUAUAAUCAAUUUUCUAGUGCAUAAAUAAUUCAGAUACAUUGCAACAUAUGUUUCAGCUUAUCAAUAUAUCCAAAUAUUCGCGCAACACAUAAAGUACUUUAAUAUAAAACUGUCGCCUAUAAUAACUGUUGAUAUUAAACUGUCGCCAUUACUUAAAAUCUUAAAAUUCCAAAUUGGCAAGGAAAAAUAAUAAAUUCAUUUUUUUUAUUCA
This 2240-nucleotide long non-coding RNA is filed under the name Astyanax mexicanus (Mexican tetra). RNAcentral's name for it is "lncRNA (ENSAMXG00005001085.1)". The record is from RNAcentral. Lineage: Eukaryota; Metazoa; Chordata; Actinopteri; Characiformes; Acestrorhamphidae.